AUGGCAUCCAAAACAGCCUUCAUGGCUGUGGUUUUGCUCGUCCUCGUGGCCGGCGAUCUCGCCGGUGGCCAUGUCGUGCCACCGCUCCGGCGCGGCACGCGGAGCCACGGCUGGAUGCAAGGCAUCAAGGGAGGGUUGCCCACUGGCACGCAGCCAUCAGACACCAUUUCUACUGCCUGCCAAGGCGCCAUUUCUUGGGUGGAUAAAGGUAGAGGACUCUGCGCCAUUGCGUUGAUAAUUUUCUGGUGGCGAGGAAAGCAGCCGGGAGGAAGGCAAGUUCAUCGCGCCUGCACCGGGAUUCAAGCUCCCGCCCCUUCCCCCGAACGCUCCCUGAUAAGAGAUCACAUCACAGGGCGAGCAUGCAUGCAUGCCAUGGCAUCGACCAUCACUAGGUCUGUCAGCAAAGGUGCCGUAGUGUUCAACGAUGCUUUAUAUAUAUUGUUCAGCAUCGAUCUGCUAUUAGGAGAGCCCAUGUUCAUCAUUCCUGUCCAGGAGUGCGUGCUCCCGGGAGCACCAACGGAUUUCCGGAAACAUGACCACUAUGCAUGCAACAAAUGUUCUUACCAAAAGCAUGAUGCUGCUAUGUGGUUACUGGGCCGACCCAACAACGGCUCCCUGCACGCGACCCUGCACUACAUAACCACACCCAUCCCUCAAAAGCAGGCUGAGUGUGUUGGGCUCUCCUUCUGGAUAGGCCCUCAUCUUUCAGAAUCAUUAGUGUUUUCACCAUAUCUAAGUUUACUCUCAAAAAUCACAAAUGACAAGUUCAUCGCACCUGUGCCGGAUUCAAGCUCCCGCCCCUUGCUCCGAAUGCUCCCUGAGAAGAGAUCACAUCAGAGAGUGAUCAUGCAUGCAUUUCAUGGCAUUAACCAUCACUAG
This 879-nucleotide ribosomal RNA is filed under the name Triticum aestivum (bread wheat). Its description in RNAcentral is "partial small subunit ribosomal RNA". Lineage: Eukaryota; Viridiplantae; Streptophyta; Magnoliopsida; Poales; Poaceae. The record is from RNAcentral.